ACCAAGGCGACGAUCAGUAGCUGGUCUGAGAGGAUGAUCAGCCACACUGGAACUGAGACACGGUCCAGACUCCUACGGGAGGCAGCAGUGGGGAAUUUUCCGCAAUGGGCGAAAGCCUGACGGAGCAAUACCGCGUGAGGGAGGAAGGCUCUUGGGUUGUAAACCUCUUUUCUCAGGGAAUAAGCAAGUGAAGGUACCUGAGGAAUCAGCAUCGGCUAACUCCGUGCCAGCAGCCGCGGUAAUACGGAGGAUGCAAGCGUUAUCCGGAAUGAUUGGGCGUAAAGCGUUCCGUAGGUGGCUGUGUGUGUCUAUUGUUAAAGAGUUUGGCUCAACCAAAUAAGGGCGGUAGAAACUACACAGCUAGAGUGCGUUCGGGGCAGAGGGAAUUCCUGGUGUAGCGGUGAAAAUGCGUAGAGAUCAGGAAGCAACACCGGUGGCGAAAGCGCCUCUGCUAGGCCGCAACUGACACUGAGGGACGAAAGCUAGGGGAGCGAAUGGGAUUAGAUACCCCAGUAGUCCUAGCCGUAAACGAUGGAUACUAGGCGGUUGAGAGUAUCGACCCUCUCAGUGCCGUAGCUAACGCGUUAAGUAUCCCGCCUGGGGAAGUACGCACGCAAGUGUGAAACUCAAAGGAAUUGACGGGGGCCCAGCACAAGCGGUGGAGUAUGUGGUUUAAUUCGAUGCAACGCGAAGAACCUUACCAGGGCUUGACAUGUCUGGAACUCUGGGGAAACUCGGAGUUGCCUUCGGGAGCCAGAACACAGGUUGGUGCAUGGGCUGUCGUCAGCUCGUGUCGUGAGAUGUUGCGGUUAAGUCCCGCAACGAGGCGCAACCCUCGUACUAUAGUGUG
This 850-nucleotide ribosomal RNA is filed under the name Fischerella sp. Ind81. Its description in RNAcentral is "bacterial SSU rRNA". It matches the Rfam family "Bacterial small subunit ribosomal RNA", at positions 267 to 1119 of the family's 1533-position model. Lineage: Bacteria; Bacillati; Cyanobacteriota; Cyanophyceae; Nostocales; Hapalosiphonaceae. The record is from RNAcentral.